GAGUUUGAUCCUGGCUCAGAUUGAACGCUGGCGGCAGGCCUAACACAUGCAAGUCGAGCGGUAGAGAGAAGCUUGCUUCUCUUGAGAGCGGCGGACGGGGUGAGGUAAUGCCUAGGAAUCUGCCUGGUAGUGGGGGAUAACGCUCGGAAACGGACGCUAAUACCGCAUACGUCCUACGGGAGAAAGCAGGGGACCUUCGGGCCUUGCGCUAUCAGAUGAGCCUAGGUCGGAUUAGCUAGUUGGUGAGGUAAUGGCUCACCAAGGCGACGAUCCGUAACUGGUCUGAGAGGAUGAUCAGUCACACUGGAACUGAGACACGGCCCAGACUCCUACGGGAGGC
Molecule: ribosomal RNA, 340 nt
Filed under: uncultured bacterium
Lineage: Bacteria
Description: bacterial SSU rRNA
Rfam family: Bacterial small subunit ribosomal RNA
Source: RNAcentral